Molecule: non-coding RNA, 70 nt
Organism: Phrynosoma platyrhinos (Desert horned lizard)
Lineage: Eukaryota; Metazoa; Chordata; Lepidosauria; Squamata; Phrynosomatidae
Source: the annotation of a GenBank genome assembly
GCCAGCAUGGUGCAGUGGUUAAAAUGCUGCAUUUUGAUUUUGGAAACCAGGGUUUGAAUCCCUGAUGGAA